CUCUUGCCUAUACACGAAAUUGGUGGUGGGAAUGCUCUGCCGCUCAGCCUUGUCCUCCGGAUUUCUCCACUUAGAUUCUCCAUUGUUGAAUGCCUUGUGAUGCUUACUUUCUCCUCUUGGUAUUGCCAAUCUUCAUUUAUAUCAUUCUUCAAGUCCUCAACAUCAUCAAAGCUUUCAAAACCAAGCCCCUCGGUGCAUAGUUGCAAGCUCUCAUAGUUCCU
This 221-nucleotide unclassified non-coding RNA is filed under the name Hevea brasiliensis (rubber tree). Lineage: Eukaryota; Viridiplantae; Streptophyta; Magnoliopsida; Malpighiales; Euphorbiaceae. The record is from RNAcentral.